GACGAACGCUGGCGGCGUGCUUAACACAUGCAAGUCGAACGGAAAGGCCCUGCUUUUGUGGGGUGCUCGAGUGGCGAACGGGUGAGUAACACGUGAGUAACCUGCCCUUGACUUUGGGAUAACUUCAGGAAACUGGGGCUAAUACCGGAUAGGAGCUCCUGCUGCAUGGUGGGGGUUGGAAAGUUUCGGCGGUUGGGGAUGGACUCGCGGCUUAUCAGCUUGUUGGUGGGGUAGUGGCUUACCAAGGCUUUGACGGGUAGCCGGCCUGAGAGGGUGACCGGCCAAAUUGGGACUGAGAUACGGCCCAGACUCCUACGGGAGGCAGCAGGGGGGAAUAUUGCAAAAUGGGCGGAAGCCUGAUGCAGCAACGCCGCGUGCGGGAUGACGGCCUUCGGGUUGUAAACCGCUUUCGCCUGUGACGAAGCGUGAGUGACGGUAAUGGGUAAAGAAGCACCGGCUAACUACGUG
Molecule: ribosomal RNA, 468 nt
Filed under: uncultured bacterium
Lineage: Bacteria
Description: partial 16S ribosomal RNA
Rfam family: Bacterial small subunit ribosomal RNA
Source: RNAcentral